Molecule: long non-coding RNA, 776 nt
Filed under: Homo sapiens (human)
Lineage: Eukaryota; Metazoa; Chordata; Mammalia; Primates; Hominidae
Description: non-protein coding lnc-ZNF705D-2:42
Source: RNAcentral
CAUGCGCGGUCUGCCUCCCGCGGCGGGCCGGGUCUCCAGGGAGGACCUGAGUUUUCUUCACCCAUUGUCAGGGAGGCGCCAUCGCCCUGGCUUUGGGGCUGGGGCCUCCGGGGAGGUUCCGGUAGGGGCGUUGGAGAGGCCGCUCUUUUUGCAAGGCCCGAGACGGCGGGCCCUGCGCAGGCCGCCCUAUUCCGCGCCCUCAGGGCGUCAGUAUCAGCCUGAGGCUGGAUACCCCCGCUGGGCCCGGAUGACCCCGCUGGGCCCGGAGCAUCCUCCGGCGCUGCCCUCCCAGAGCCACGCAGAGGCUGAGGUGGCGCGGGGGCGGCCCCGGCUCCGCGAGAAGCGGCGGCAGCGAGGGCUGGAGGACCCGGGCUGCGGGGCUCCGGGGCGUCUGGCCUGGGUGGGACUGAGCCCAUCCAGGGACUGGGACUCUGGGAUUCUGGUGUAGGUGGAUCCGGGGCAGGCUCAGGACCAAGUCCCUCUCCUUCCACCAAGGAGCGCCCAGAGGCCGGCGGGAGCUCCAGGUUCACCUCCUCCUCCUCCAGGAAAUCCCACUUCCAGCUAGAUGUCUGCAUGAACUACUGAAAGCUGCUGAGUGUCUUGCAGCAGCUUGACUACCACACAAAUGAAUCCAUUCAAAUGUUGGCAAGUGGAGCAGAGUCCCAGGACAGGUACAGAAACACCCCCAGUUCAAGAAUCUUCACAUCUGAAUUUAGUCCUACACCUGCAACUACCCCAGCUACUUACACCAAGAUGAAGAUAAUUUAUUAGUUCAG